RNAcentral lists this long non-coding RNA (581 nucleotides) under Homo sapiens (human). Its description in RNAcentral is "non-protein coding LINC02015:24". Lineage: Eukaryota; Metazoa; Chordata; Mammalia; Primates; Hominidae. The record is from RNAcentral.
ACAAAGUUUAUAUUAGAGCGUCAUCCAUUAAUGCUUUGGCUAGGAGGGGGUCUAUCGCCCUGGUUGGAGUGCAGCAGUGUAAUCAUAGCUCACUGCUGCCAUGAACUUCUGGGCUCAAGCGAUCCUCCCACCUCAGCCUCCCUGUGUGCUGGGAUUAAAAGUGUGAGCCACCGUGCCUCAUCGUAAGGGUCUUAAAAGAAACCCUAUUUCAUACUUUCUUGAUGCACUUGAUAUGGAUUAUAUAAAUCUAUGGACAAAAAUGACAUCAGUACAAUGGAAUAUUGGAGUUUUCUACCAUAAUCUCUGCAUAGUGCACUGAUUUUGACAAUCACCUAUGGAUGAAAAUACAUUUGCCAGAGUCUAGGAGUUAAAUGGAAAAGUUAACAGCACACCGUUGGAGAAAAAUAUCUGGGAGUAGAUGCAUUCAAGGGAGUAAGAAGAACAAUUACCUGCAUCACCUCACCCCCAGGGUCCACUUCUUAGUGCCAAGAUAGACUCCCUUCAGCAGGCAAUUUCUCCCAUGGGGAAAAGGAGAGUAUAAUGAGUGAGUAUCCAGCUUUUCCAGCUGUGUGAGGCACAUC